This is a long non-coding RNA of Harpia harpyja (harpy eagle), 374 nucleotides long. RefSeq lists it as uncharacterized. The transcript has 3 exons. NCBI's taxonomy places the organism in Eukaryota, Metazoa, Chordata, Aves, Accipitriformes, Accipitridae. The record is from RefSeq and is a predicted model, not a curated record.
CUUCUACUACACAAAUGGUUGCUGUUCAGGAACCAACCAUUUCGCUGGCACAUUUGUGUUUUCCCUUUGCAAACUCUUCUCAUCAAAGACUUCUGUAAAGUAUCCAGCCUUCCUGAAAACCACCCAAUCUGAAACCACGGGGAUAUAUAAAGGGCUAUGUGAAAGGUGGCAACAAAUGAAGUGAAAAAGUGAACUGAGACUCAGUUUCAGGUCCUUGCUUUCCUAGAUGUUUACUCUGCAACCGUAGCUCACCUUUGGAGACAUCCACAUGAAACUCUAUAAACGCAGCAAAUCUGCAAGAACUGCUUGUAGGUGCAAUACAGUCCUGCUUUGUGCUGUGGCUUGUGGUGCUCCACAGUACACUUUAGUAACCA